AUGUUUAUUUUAAAAAAGCCCACUAUUUUCUUCCUUCUAUUACAUGAAACAAACUUCCACAAGGCUGGAACAUACCUUUGUCUUCUUGAGAAAUUUUUCCCAGAUGUUAUUGAGAUACGUUGUAGAAAGAACAGCAACAAGGUUCACAGGAAAUCCCAAGAACACCAUGAAGACUAGCGACACAUGCAUGAGAAUUUAGCUGGUUAACGAGUGCCAGAAAGUCACUGGAUAAAGAAACUGGAUGUAUAAAUCAGACACGAGAAUAAUGAGAAAUGGAGUUGAUCAAGAGAAAUUAUCGACACGAGAAUAAUAGAAAUGGAGUUGAUCAAGAAAUUAUCUUUCCUCCAAUAAAGACAGAUGUCACCACAGUGGAUCCCAAAGACAGUUAUUCAAAAGAUGCAAAUGAUGUCACCACAGUGGAUCCCAAAGGCAAUUAUUCAGAAGUUGCAAAUGAUGUCACCACAGUGGAUCCCAAAGACAAUUAUUCAGGAGAUGCAAAUGAUGCACUACUGCUGCAGCUCACAAACACCUCUGCAUAUUACAUGUACCUCCUCCUGCUCGUCAAGAGUGAGGUCUAUUUUGCCAUCAUUGCUGUCUGUCUGCUUAGAAGAACGGCUGUUUGCUGCAAUGGAGAGAGACCAUAACAGACGGUGGCACAAGGACGCCAUCUUUUCCUCAUCAGUUAUUGUCCCUAGAAGUGUCUUCUGAGGAUCUAAUUGGGCUUUCUUUCUGGGUUUGGGCUAUUUCCGUUUUCAUGUGUGUACUAUUCUAUCAUUGUUGUAAAAUGUUUUCAAACCACUGGGCGCACGGACAACCUCACUCUGUGAUGACAAUGAAGAAUAGCCAUGGCGGUCUCCAGCACCACUCUCUCCAUAUUCUCCACAGCUCCUCCAGCCAACCCAAAUAGCCACUGCCAUAGUGUAGACAGCCUGUGGCUUCUAGCCUUGUCCCUCCCUUAGUGUUCUUUAAUCAGGUAACUGCCUGGAAGCCUUUCAUUUUACACACCCUGAAGCAGCCUUCUUUGCUAGUUGAAUUAUGUGGUGUAUUUUUCCUAAUAGGCAAAAUAAAUUUAAAACAAUGAAAAGUUGAC
Non-coding RNA from Chlorocebus sabaeus (green monkey), 1090 nucleotides. The record is from RefSeq and is a predicted model, not a curated record. NCBI's taxonomy places the organism in Eukaryota, Metazoa, Chordata, Mammalia, Primates, Cercopithecidae.